AGCACAAGCAAGAGAAGCACUUUGCAGACCAUUCCUCCUUCGGAAAGGAGGCAUUCUCCGAAAAAGAGCAAGAUAGUGGAAAAUGAAAUGGAAAAAAAAAAAAAAAAAACACCCAAAAGUGUACUUUUCUGAGUUGUUUUGGAAAUUUAUGUAAAUUGAUGGGCACCUCCUACAAGAAUGAAUUUCCCCCCAUCCCACUGCAUCCCAUAAACACCCUGGACGCACGUCCGUCCGAAGCCCGUGGCCAACCGAAGACGCUCUCUCUGUACGGCCAGGCUGGAGGUUCUUUUUUUCUUUUCUUCUAUUUUUUUGCGGUCCGUUAGGUGAACUCCCAUUGUUAUCAUUUCCUGCCACUCGAUCUGUGGUGAAACCCCAAGUAUGUACUGUAAAAACAACGUCACAGUAAAGAAGGCCGGGACCUGGCCCUGGUGUCCGAGGGCUGUGGGUCUUUUCCCCACCUAAGAGCACCGAUGAAAAGGACUCUUUGGAUUCGGAAAGUACGACAGCGGGUGGAACUGGGGGUCUCUCUCUCCCUCUCUCUCCCUCUCUCUCUCAGACACACACACACACACACACACACACCUCCUUGAUCGCAACAGACCUGGGACUGAAUUGCAUCAGAAUGUUGCCUGUGCACCUUCUCCACACGACUCCUCCUGGCUGAGGACUUCGCACAUGGAAUAUUGCCAGUAUGCAGGACAUGGAGGGAAUAGAAGCAGCACAGUCUGGCUUCACAGACCAGCUGACAAUGACUUGCUACCGUGGCCACCUCAGAGGAGUGACGGACAGCCCUUUGGCACGUCGCACAGGAUAUACCUGUCUACAUCGCUGGACUGGAUCAUCUGGACCAGCGACUCGGAUCCUGUUAGGCUCCGUGGUGAAGAAUCAAGGGUGAGACCUGCUGUCUCUGAGAGGACCCCCUGCAAAGAAUGUUUACUGAUUCCAUGGAGACAAUCUGACUGGCCAGGUACAAUGGCAAUGGUGAGAGUGUGCCAAAGAGCUGGUUUAUCCAGUGUUACAAACAGUGAUUGGGUUGGGUCAUGCACAACUUGUGGGUCUGCCUGCGAGUAUGACGACUCGGGGUCUAGCGGGGGGUUUUGA
Molecule: long non-coding RNA, 1101 nt
Filed under: Scleropages formosus (Asian bonytongue)
Lineage: Eukaryota; Metazoa; Chordata; Actinopteri; Osteoglossiformes; Osteoglossidae
Description: lncRNA (ENSSFOG00015030011.1)
Source: RNAcentral